Molecule: ribosomal RNA, 355 nt
Filed under: uncultured eukaryote
Lineage: Eukaryota
Description: LSU rRNA
Rfam family: Bacterial large subunit ribosomal RNA
Source: RNAcentral
UGNACUUUAGUCGCGCAGUAUAGGUGGGAGGCGUUGAGAAUACUCUUGCGGGAGUAUUGGAGCUAUCAGUGAGAUACCACUCUUCUAAUGUUAGAUUUCUAACUUUGAACCAUUAUCUGGUCAAAGAACAGUUUCAGGCGGGCAGUUUGACUGGGGCGGUCGCCUCCCAAAUGGUAACGGAGGCGUACAAAGGUUUCCUCUGAACGGGUAGAAAUCGUAUCUAGAGUGUAAAGGCAUAAGGAAGCUUGACUGUGAGACCUACAAGUCGAACAGGGACGAAAGUCGGUCUUAGUGAUCUGACGGUACUGAGUGGAAAGGCCGUCACUCAACGGAUAAAAGUUACUCUAGGGAUAAC